RNAcentral lists this ribosomal RNA (676 nucleotides) under Inocybe soluta. RNAcentral's name for it is "eukaryotic LSU rRNA". It matches the Rfam family "Eukaryotic large subunit ribosomal RNA", at positions 1 to 653 of the family's 3401-position model. Lineage: Eukaryota; Fungi; Basidiomycota; Agaricomycetes; Agaricales; Inocybaceae. The record is from RNAcentral.
UUGACCUCAAAUCAGGUAGGAUUACCCGCUGAACUUAAGCAUAUCAAUAAGCGGAGGAAAAGAAACUAACAAGGAUUCCCCUAGUAACUGCGAGUGAAGCGGGAAAAGCUCAAAUUUGAAAUCUGGCAGUUUUCAACUGUCCGAAUUGUAAUCUAGAGAAGUGUUACCUGUGCGGGACCAUGUACAAGUCUUCUGGAAUGAAGCAUCAUAGAGGGUGAGAAUCCCGUCUUUGACAUGGACUACCUGUACAUUGUGGUAUGCUCUCAAAGAGUCGAGUUGUUUGGGAAUGCAGCUCAAAAUGGGUGGUAAAUGCCAUCUAAAGCUAAAUAUUGGCGAGAGACCGAUAGCGAACAAGUACCGUGAGGGAAAGAUGAAAAGAACUUUGGAAAGAGAGUUAAACAGUACGUGAAAUUGCUGAAAGGGAAACGCUUGAAGUCAGUCACAUUGGCUAGAAAUCAGCCUUGCUUCUGCUUGGUGUACUUUCUGGUUGAUGGGUCAGCAUCAAUUUUGACCACUGGAUAAAGUCUCUGGGAAUGUGGCAUCUUUUUUGGAUGUGUUAUAGCCCAUUGUCGCAUGCAGUGGUUGGGAUUGAGGAACUCAGCACGCCCUGCAAGGGGCCAGGUUUCUACCAUGUUCGUGCUUAGGAUGCUGGCAUAAUGGCUUUAAUCGACCCGUC